RNAcentral lists this ribosomal RNA (481 nucleotides) under uncultured bacterium. RNAcentral's name for it is "partial 16S ribosomal RNA". It matches the Rfam family "Bacterial small subunit ribosomal RNA", at positions 28 to 507 of the family's 1533-position model. The record is from RNAcentral.
GAUGAACGCUGGCGGCGUGCUUAACACAUGCAAGUCGAACGAAGCAUUUGCGACAGAUUUUUUCGGAAUGAAGUUGCUUAUGACUGAGUGGCGGACGGGUGAGUAACGCGUGGGUAACCUGCCUUGUACUGGGGGAUAGCAGCUGGAAACGGCUGGUAAUACCGCAUAAGCGCACAAUGUUGCAUGACAUGGUGUGAAAAACUCCGGUGGUAUAAGAUGGACCCGCAUCUGAUUAGCUAGUUGGUGAGAUAACAGCCCACCAAGGCGACGAUCAGUAGCCGACCUGAGAGGGUGACCGGCCACAUUGGGACUGAGACACGGCCCAGACUCCUACGGGAGGCAGCAGUGGGGAAUAUUGCACAAUGGAGGAAACUCUGAUGCAGCGACGCCGCGUGAGUGAAGAAGUAAUUCGUUAUGUAAAGCUCUAUCAGCAGGGAAGAUAGUGACGGUACCUGACUAAGAAGCUCCGGCUAAAUACGUG